CCGUUGAAACUAAGCAUAUCAAUAAGCGGAGGAAAAGAAACUACCAAGGAUUCCCCUAGUAACUGCGAGUGAAGCGGGAAAAGCUCAAAUUUAAAAUCUGGUGGCUUUUGGUCAUCCGAGUUGUAAUUUAGAGAAGCGUCUUCCGCGCUGAACCGUGCACAAGUCUCCUGGAAUGGAGCGUCAUAGAGGGUGAGAAUCCCGUCUUUGGCACGGAACAUCAGGGCUUCUGUGAUGCGCUCUCGACGAGUCGAGUUGUUUGGGAAUGCAGCUCAAAAUGGGUGGUGAACUCCAUCUAAAGCUAAAUAUUGGCGAGAGACCGAUAGCGAACAAGUACCGUGAGGGAAAGAUGAAAAGCACUUUGGAAAGAGAGUGAAACAGUACGUGAAAUUGUUGAAAGGGAAACGCUUGAAGUCAGUCGCGUCGACCGAGACUCAGCCUUGCCUUGGCUUGGUGUACUUCUCGGCUGACGGGUCAGCAUCAAUUUUGAUCCUCGGAUAAUGGCAAGGGAAAGGUAGCACCUUUUUAGGUGUGUUAUAGUCCUUCGUCGCAUACGGGGGUUGGGAUUGAGGAACUCAGCACGCACCUCUCGGUGUCGGGGCCGCAUGGCUCACGCUACGUGCUUAGGAUGCUGGCGUAAUGGCUUUAAACGACCCGUCUUGAAACACGGACCAAGGAGUCUAACAUACCCGCGAGUGUUCGGGUGGAAAACCCGUGCGCGUAAUGAAAGUGAAAGUUGGGACCUCUGUCGUGGAGGGCACCGACGCCCGGACCAGACCUUCUGUGACGGCUCUGCGGUAGAGCGUGUAUGUUGGGACCCGAAAGAUGGUGAACUAUGCCUGAAUAGGGUGAAGCCAGAGGAAACUCUGGUGGAGGCUCGUAGCGAUUCUGACGUGCAAAUCGAUCGUCAAAUUUGGGUAUAGGGGCGAAAGACUAAUCGAACCAUCUAGUAGCUGGUUCCUGCCGAUUCUCCCUC
This 973-nucleotide ribosomal RNA is filed under the name Russula sp. RNAcentral describes it as "partial 28S large subunit ribosomal RNA". It matches the Rfam family "Eukaryotic large subunit ribosomal RNA", at positions 25 to 974 of the family's 3401-position model. Lineage: Eukaryota; Fungi; Basidiomycota; Agaricomycetes; Russulales; Russulaceae. The record is from RNAcentral.